Molecule: long non-coding RNA, 813 nt
Filed under: Aotus nancymaae (Ma's night monkey)
Lineage: Eukaryota; Metazoa; Chordata; Mammalia; Primates; Aotidae
Description: lncRNA (ENSANAG00000039332.1)
Source: RNAcentral
CCAGCCAAUUUACUCUUAAUUCUCCAUCACUUGCAUCUUAUUCCCUAUUUUAUUAUCCUCGUGUAGUGUAUAUUUGUGCCACCUAUUUAAAUCCUCUUGGGAAGGAGACAGGAAAUAAAUACCUGCUUAGUUACAAAUACAUGAGGAUGUACACCAUAUAGGUAGCAUGCGGGCCAGGGAAGAGAAGUUAUCAAGAGAGACCAAGAAGAGGGCAUUGGAGAAACAGACAUAGUGGUAAAGAGAUAGGUCACAGAAGCCAAGAGGAGAGAGCAUUAGAAAGAGGGAGCAGCUGGCUGGCAGCAUGUCACAUGUUGCCGAGAGGUUAAAUUGGAUGAAGACUAAAAAAAGGCCAUGGGAUUGAGCGAUGAGAAGGUCGCCAGGGACCACAAGGACACUUCAUUGCCCUGUUGAAUCAGACACAAAUGGAAGAUGAGGAAGUGGAGGCAGCAAGGACAGAAACACAAGUUCGAGAAAUUUGCAAGCAGGAAGGAAAAAAAACCGUGGGUUAAAUGAGGGGAGGAAGCAUUUAUUUUCUUGUUUUGUCUUGUAGUUUUUAGGGAGUGGAUGCAAAUGCAGAUGAGAAGGUAAGCUUCAACAGGACGCCACCACCGCCAGGAGGAAGCAUGAAGAAAGUGGUAAACUCAGAGGUGGAACAAAACCUUUGGCAGUGGAGAUAUCCGCCAUGGAGAGGGGCUGGGUUCUCUCUGAUUGAUGGAUAAUUCCUGUUCUGCCUACUCUACAAUCGUGCUUCCAUUUCCAUUCCAAAGAUGAACUCAAAGAAACUUGUAUCCGAAAAAAAGGAUUAAAAAGUAG